This 573-nucleotide ribosomal RNA is filed under the name Paraburkholderia sp. RNAcentral's name for it is "bacterial SSU rRNA". It matches the Rfam family "Bacterial small subunit ribosomal RNA", at positions 86 to 655 of the family's 1533-position model. The record is from RNAcentral. Lineage: Bacteria; Pseudomonadati; Pseudomonadota; Betaproteobacteria; Burkholderiales; Burkholderiaceae.
UGGUGGCGAGUGGCGAACGGGUGAGUAAUACAUCGGAACGUGUCCUGUAGUGGGGGAUAGCCCGGCGAAAGCCGGAUUAAUACCGCAUACGAUCUGUGGAUGAAAGCGGGGGAUCUUAGGACCUCGCGCUACAGGGGCGGCCGAUGGCAGAUUAGCUAGUUGGUGGGGUAAAGGCCUACCAAGGCGACGAUCUGUAGCUGGUCUGAGAGGACGACCAGCCACACUGGGACUGAGACACGGCCCAGACUCCUACGGGAGGCAGCAGUGGGGAAUUUUGGACAAUGGGCGCAAGCCUGAUCCAGCAAUGCCGCGUGUGUGAAGAAGGCCUUCGGGUUGUAAAGCACUUUUGUCCGGAAAGAAAACGUCGUGGUUAAUACCCGUGGCGGAUGACGGUACCGGAAGAAUAAGCACCGGCUAACUACGUGCCAGCAGCCGCGGUAAUACGUAGGGUGCAAGCGUUAAUCGGAAUUACUGGGCGUAAAGCGUGCGCAGGCGGUUCGCUAAGACAGAUGUGAAAUCCCCGGGCUUAACCUGGGAACUGCAUUUGUGACUGGCGGGCUAGAGUAUGGCAGA